This 476-nucleotide ribosomal RNA is filed under the name Ptycta molokaiensis. RNAcentral's name for it is "partial 16S ribosomal RNA". The stretch from base 343 to 476 matches the Rfam family "Bacterial large subunit ribosomal RNA", at positions 2473 to 2607 of the family's 2925-position model. The record is from RNAcentral. Lineage: Eukaryota; Metazoa; Arthropoda; Insecta; Psocodea; Psocidae.
GGUCUGCUCACUGAAUAAUUUUAAAGAGCCGCAGUAUACUGACUGUGCAAAGGUAGAAAAUCAAUAGUUUUUUAAUUGAAAACUGGAAUGAAAGAUUAGACGAAAAAUUAGUUUUUUUUAUUUUAAUAAAUUUAAUUUUAAUUUUAAGUGAAAAUGCUUAAAUAUAAUUAAAAGACGAGAAGACCCUAUAGAUUUUUAUUAUUGAAAUAAAUUUAUAAAUCUGAUUUAAUAAAAUAAUUUAAUUGGGGCGAUUUUAUAAUAUAAAUAACUUAAUUACUUAAAACCAUAAAUAAUUGAAUUUUUGAUCUAAAAUUUUUAAAGAAAAGAUUAAAUUACCUUAGGGAUAACAGCGUAAUUUUAUUUAAGAGUUCAUAUCUAUAAUAAAGUUUGCGACCUCGAUGUUGAAUUAAGAUAAUAUAUUGGAGUAGAAAUUAAUAUAAUUAGUCUGUUCGACUAUUAAAUUCUUACGUGAUCUG